UACGUAGGGUGCGAGCGUUGUCCGGAAUUAUUGGGCGUAAAGAGCUUGUAGGCGGUCUGUCGCGUCUGCUGUGAAAAUCCGGGGCUCAACCCCGGACUUGCAGUGGGUACGGGCAGACUAGAGUGUGGUAGGGGAGACUGGAAUUCCUGGUGUAGCGGUGAAAUGCGCAGAUAUCAGGAGGAGCACCGAUGGCGAAGGCGGUUCUCUGGGCCUGUGCUGACGCUGAGGAGCGAAAGCGUGGGGAGCGAACAGG
This 253-nucleotide ribosomal RNA is filed under the name uncultured bacterium. RNAcentral's name for it is "partial 16S ribosomal RNA". It matches the Rfam family "Bacterial small subunit ribosomal RNA", at positions 524 to 776 of the family's 1533-position model. The record is from RNAcentral.